CUAUCACUCCUACGGGAGGCAGCAGUGGGGAAUAUUGCACAAUGGGCGCAAGCCUGAUGCAGCCAUGCCGCGUGUGUGAAGAAGGCCUUCGGGUUGUAAAGCACUUUCAGUCGUGAGGAAGGUAGUGUAGUUAAUAGCUGCAUUAUUUGACGUUAGCGACAGAAGAAGCACCGGCUAACUCCGUGCCAGCAGCCGCGGUAAUACGGAGGGUGCGAGCGUUAUCCGGAUUUAUUGGGUUUAAAGGGUCCGUAGGCGGAUUAAUAAGUCAGUGGUGAAAUCCCAUCGCUUAACGAUGGAACUGCCAUUGAUACUGUUAGUCUUGAAUGAGGGUGCAGUGGUUGGAAUGUGUAGUGUAGCGGUGAAAUGCAUAGAUAUUACACAGAACACCGAUUGCGAAGGCAGAUCACUAACCCUAAAUUGACGCUGAGGACAGAAGCGUGGGGAGCGAACAGGAUUAGAUACCCUGGUAG
RNAcentral lists this ribosomal RNA (470 nucleotides) under uncultured bacterium. Its description in RNAcentral is "bacterial SSU rRNA". It matches the Rfam family "Bacterial small subunit ribosomal RNA", at positions 330 to 793 of the family's 1533-position model. The record is from RNAcentral.